This is a non-coding RNA of Myotis lucifugus (little brown bat), 75 nucleotides long. NCBI's taxonomy places the organism in Eukaryota, Metazoa, Chordata, Mammalia, Chiroptera, Vespertilionidae. The record is from Rfam.
GGCAGUUCUCGGGUGAUGCACCCUGGAAUGGGGCUCCCUCCUCUCUGGUUUCGGGUGCUUCACCCGAGAACCGCA